CAUGGAUACCAUGGAACCCGUAACACUUAGGUUCAAACAAUUUGGAGACAAGUGGAACUACUGCAUUCUCUUCAAGGAGCAGCCUCUGGAGUUCACAAUGGAGUGACGACUGACUCUAUCUUCAUCAGACUCUGUGAGGACAAUUUCUAGACAUAAUGUAGAACUUCAGCAGAUGUGGUUUGCAUCACCUCCCAAUUUCACCUACCCAGUACAUGUUUCUCUGAACCUCUGGAGAUGAGAGGAGGAGAUCAAUGAUAGCAGGGAUGUAGGCUGGGAAAAAGAAGGGAAAAAGAAAACAAAAAACCUUAAAUCUCAACUGACUGCAAAAAACAGAAAAAUUGGGCUUUAUAUCAAAUUAAUACAGUCUUGCGUAAACUGAGGUUCCACCAAUUCCAAGAAAGAAAUGCUGUGUCUACAAAUCAUAAAGUUUGGCUAGACAGAGCAAAGUAAAGCAGUGAAGGAAGACAAAUCUUUGAUUGAAAGAUGUGUUUUGCUCAAGACCAGUAGCCUAUGGCGGUAUGUUGAGAAGAUGAGAGUUUCCCAGAGAUGUACAACGCUGAAAACAAGAGGAUGAAAAAUUGAACUGACAAGGUUAUAUGGGUAGUUUGUGAUGUACAUCAUAAAAAUCUCUUCAUGCUGUAUCUCAAUUCUCAGCUAGGGAAGACAAGCACCACUGAUUCGAUGGGUUUGAUUGAUUGAAAGAGAAAUACAAAAUAAUAUUCAUAUAUUAUAACUUUUGAGGAAAUAAAACAUCAAACACAAAAGCCAUUAGA
This is a long non-coding RNA of Ornithorhynchus anatinus (platypus), 773 nucleotides long. RefSeq lists it as uncharacterized. The record is from RefSeq and is a predicted model, not a curated record. The transcript has 5 exons. NCBI's taxonomy places the organism in Eukaryota, Metazoa, Chordata, Mammalia, Monotremata, Ornithorhynchidae.